UGGUGUGUAACAAUUAAGUUAUGCAACAAACUAAACUUGUAUCAUUUAUAUCUGUAAUACUAUUAUACAGGGAACCUUAAAAAGCAUUACUAAUUUUUCACAUGCAGUCCUAAAUAAACUUAAAUGAAACACUUUCAUUGGGUCUACCAUAACAUUAACAUGUAAUGACCUGACCAUGAUUGUUCGGUGUGAUUAUAGAAU
This 201-nucleotide long non-coding RNA is filed under the name Mytilus galloprovincialis (Mediterranean mussel). The record is from RNAcentral. Lineage: Eukaryota; Metazoa; Mollusca; Bivalvia; Mytilida; Mytilidae.